AUUGAACGCUGGCGGCAGGCUUAACACAUGCAAGUCGAGCGGAGAGAGGUAGCUUGCUACUGAUCUUAGCGGCGGACGGGUGAGUAAUGCUUAGGAAUCUGCCUAUUAGUGGGGGACAACAUUUCGAAAGGAAUGCUAAUACCGCAUACGUCCUACGGGAGAAAGCAGGGGAUCUUCGGACCUUGCGCUAAUAGAUGAGCCUAAGUCGGAUUAGCUAGUUGGUGGGGUAAAGGCCUACCAAGGCGACGAUCUGUAGCGGGUCUGAGAGGAUGAUCCGCCACACUGGGACUGAGACACGGCCCAGACUCCUACGGGAGGCAGCAGUGGGGAAUAUUGGACAAUGGGCGGAAGCCUGAUCCAGCCAUGCCGCGUGUGUGAAGAAGGCCUUAUGGUUGUAAAGCACUUUAAGCGAGGAGGAGGCUACUUUAGUUAAUACCUAGAGAUAGUGGACGUUACUCGCAGAAUAAGCACCGGCUAACUCUGUGCCAGCAGCCGCCGUAA
This 501-nucleotide ribosomal RNA is filed under the name uncultured bacterium. RNAcentral describes it as "partial 16S ribosomal RNA". It matches the Rfam family "Bacterial small subunit ribosomal RNA", at positions 30 to 523 of the family's 1533-position model. The record is from RNAcentral.